This 302-nucleotide long non-coding RNA is filed under the name Homo sapiens (human). RNAcentral's name for it is "HSALNT0391064". Lineage: Eukaryota; Metazoa; Chordata; Mammalia; Primates; Hominidae. The record is from RNAcentral.
AGUCUUUUUGAUCCUUAAGAAGAGGAGCAAAGCUUUUGGAACGAGCUGAGAUUCCACUUUAGAUCCACGUACGUGGCUCAGGCAGAAGCCUCUGAAUCUUAUGGGUCUCUGUGAAUAUUGAAGUGAUCCCAGUCACCAAGGGAUGAUGCCUCCCUCUCCAGCCAGCCACUUCACCUCUUCCUCUACGAAUCUCUGGCUGGAUAAUAGCAGGGACCUCAUUUUCUUACUGGGGUCCCAAAGCGACUCCUCUUGACUGUGGCAUAGAGUUAUUUCUCCAAACAAGCACGCGGCAUUUCCCAAGC